This is a long non-coding RNA of Ailuropoda melanoleuca (giant panda), 5547 nucleotides long. RefSeq lists it as uncharacterized. The transcript is spliced from 2 exons. Lineage: Eukaryota; Metazoa; Chordata; Mammalia; Carnivora; Ursidae. The record is from RefSeq and is a predicted model, not a curated record.
GACACCAUGGCCUUGAUUCCUGCGCUCAGUGCGUGAAGCUGCAAGGACAGGGGAUCAGGGUGAGGAAGGGAUCCCUCCAGGAACAACCAUGCUUCCCACUCAUUGAGCACCUGCUGUAUGCCCAUGACAACCUGUGAGGUGAGGACGCUGAGGGACAAAGAAGUGGUGCGGCCCAGCUGUGUGUCCCCCAGGUCUGUCUGGCAUCUGACCCCCUGUCCAUUUCGCAUUGCACUCCUGGAUCCUUGAGCCCACGGCACAAAGUGUCACCGGAUUCUUACACUGGAAGUUCUCCCACUCUUUCCAUUUCUCAGGUGAGAAAACAGAGGCCCAGAGCGAGCAAAGGACUUGCCCAAGGUCCCUUAGCAGAGGUGGGACAAGAAGCCCACCCCUCAGCACCAUGAGUGCAGUCAUGACUGUACCCUCUCUUCCCACACUGGCACCAUACGCUCAGCUCCAUGCUGCCACAUCCUGGCCACUGCGAGCAUAUGCAUUCUAAAAAAUUAUUUGCUGUUUACCUAAAAUUCAAAUUUAACCGGCAGUCCUAUAUUUCCUUUCGCUGGCAGCCGUGCCUGUGUUUACACAGGCACGCAUAUGCAUGGGGACACAUCACACACGGUAAAAAACAGAGAGUACAGGGGCGCCUGGUGGGCUCAGUCAGAGAAGCAUGCGGAACUUGAUCUCAGGGUUGUGAGUUCAAUCCCCACGUUGGGUGUGAAGAUUACUUAAAUAUUUAAACAACAACAGAGAGCACAGUGAGCUAUUUAGUCCCAUGGAGCCGAGGGAGCCUUAGCUGGACACAGCCACAUACCACAGAACCGAUCCGGACUUGGCCAUACCGCACGGGGAUGCUGACGGUCACAGCCAGACAGAACCCACACCAUCCACUGUCCACUGUGACAGCUGGGCUUUCUCAGACAUGAUCACUCACACCCUGACAGAACUCAGGAGCCAUGAUCGCCCACCUUUUGGCAACCAGCUGACAACCCAGACACACUCAGCCAGUCAGAGCCGAGCUGGACUCGGACAGACAGAUCUGAGUCAGAUCUGAUGGUACAGGGCCAAAGACCACACAGAAACCCAGACACUGACAGACACAGGUCGGGCUAGGUCGACCAGGGUUAGAGGGAGCCCAAUGGAGACGUUGCAGACAGCCCCAGACGGGCCGGGUCUGGGCAGAAGUUGCGCGUGUGUUGCGGGGGUAACGUGUAUUCCCGGCACACCACUCUGGCAGGGGGUGGCAUCCGGGGGCAGGCACUGUGGGAUGGAGAGUAGCCCUGUCUGUCAUGGUCAGCUGUGGGUGCCCCUUGCCUGGGCCGGAUGCGCGACUGGCGGCGGAUGACGGAGUAGCGGACGGCGAUGACACAGGCCUUCUGCAGCAGGGGUAUGAUCUCGCCCAGCAGCAGAUCCACCCGCAUCACCACCAUGGAAAAGUAGUUGGUCUGCGGUGAUCCGAGCUUGAAGUAGGUGCCAUCUGGCAAGACCUGGUGGACCGAAGACAGGCGCCGGGUCUGAGCCUAGGCUCCCCAGCCUGUCCUACACCAUAACUGUGGGCUUGCCUCGCCUUCAGGCACACAGGCCUCAGACCGCUCACCUGGAGCAGGUGGCUGAUGGACCGCCGGAGCGCGCCGGUUGUUACCCGCACCCGUGCUUUCUGCUGGCCAGCCAUUGCCUCAGGUGCCUGGGUUCACAGCGCCUCUCUUGGGACACCCAGGACCUCCCCCAAAUCCAUAGCUAAAGGGAAUGCCUGGCAAGACGGGGACUCCAGAACUUCCUCAAGCACUCAGGUGGUGUCUGGUCAGUGACUAGUUGUCCAGGCCUCACUGUAGCUAAAUAGGCAUGUUACCCUCAGCCCUUCCCUCUUCUCACGUCGCCUUGCCACUGACCCUGUGACUGCUCUGCCACCCCAUGAAGCUCUGAGCAUUUACCCAUGAGAACUCUGAGGCUCAGAGAGGUUAAGUGACUCGCCCAAGAUCACACAGCUCCUUAACUGGGGCUUUACCCAGAUCUGUGGGGUACCAGAGCCUCUCUGGGGUGGGGGUGGGGUACCCCAAACUCUGCUCUUUAGAGGAAGACCCAGAGCCAGCAGCAAUCUGCAGGAGGACUGCUACCCCCUUUCUAGGCAGUGCGGGCUUGCCCCCCCCCCCAGGACUCCCACCUGUGCAAAGCGACUCAACAUGUUCUCUCUAGGGACCCGCACGUGGUCCAGUCGCAGGAAGCCAUUGUCUAUGGAGUCAAAGCCCAUCUUGGGCCCAAUGUCUCCAACGGUGACUCCUAGAAGGAGAUGGAGAUGGGAACGUCUGUCAGCCGUGUGCUUGCAGUGUGCCAGGUACCCCCUGCCCCCCAACCCACGUUCCAGCUCCCCUGAGCCUCACAGCAGCCUGUCACAUGGGUUAUUACACCUGUUUUGCAGGUGACCGAGCCAAGGUCAGACAGGUGCUGAAUCUUGCCCAAGUUCACCCAGCUAGUUAGCACCAGGUCUAUUCAACUGGACUCCUCCCUGCCCAAGGGAGACAUGUCCCAGCUUCUCCCAUGACCUCUGGGGCCUCAGGAUGGGGAGGCCUGGUGCAGUCUCUUCUUGGCAGUGGUCCUGGGAGCCACCGGGGCUUACCUGGCAGUGGGCUGUGGUCCUCAAGGCUCCGGAUAGGCACGAUGAAGGCGUGCAUGCCCCGCCGGGCUCCUGAGCAGAUCAGCUGGGCCUGGACCAAAGUGUGGGUGGCUGACCGUCCCACUGAAGUUGGAGAAAGGAGAGGCGCCACAUGAUCUCUGGUGUAGGAGGCCCUGGGGUAUGGAGCAGGCAAGCUAACUCUCCCUACCAGGAAUCUGGAUAUGGGUUAAAUCUGUAAUGGGUUAGGAGGACCAGUGUGGUGGCAUGGGGAAGGGCAGGCACCCCAUGAAGCCAGAAUGGGGUUUGUUUGAUCUGCCUCAAAUGGUAAGGGUCAGGGGAGGAUGCGCAAGGGGCCUGAAGGGUAGCGGGUAUUUCCAGGGGGUUUACACAGGGCAGGGAGAGCCAGGCAGAGGAGGGGGUAGCAUCCAGGGCAACAAAGUGAUGCUUUUUCAGGAUACCCCUUGACUCACAUGGCCUUGACUCAUCCUUGGAAAUGACUGCAACAGUAUUGAAAGCUUUCAUAUGAGUGUCUGGCUCUGGAAUGCACUGGGUUGGAGGGCUUUAUGGACAGCAAUUUGGUGGCUGGAGGUGCAGGGGGUUCUGUCUAAAGGUUACAUGUGUGGAGCGACCACCCUACAAUACACAGGCAUGGGGUAGGGAGGCUCAAGGAGGCUGCUGGUGAUCUUGAGGGGUGCAAAGCCCUCUACACCCUCUAGGUGCUUCCCCUUCCAAAGGCAAAGCUGACAAAGGUUAUGGAUUUUAAUGAAAAUAGCCUAAAUGGAACAACCUGGAAAAGCUUGGCAUCUUUAAAAAUUUGGUUCUUCUGCAGUCUUCUGGCUGCAGUGUGUGCCCUUGAGUCAUUUUUCUUUGGAAUCUUUACGUCAGAGCUGCUGGGGUAUGUAUGUUAGGAUCCAUGGUAAGAAAACUGAUCCCUGAUCACAGGGAAAGGUGUGCAUCACUGCCCCCCCAUCCCAGGAGCCUCGAAGAGUCACUGAUCCCAGAGAGGGGGAACUGCUCCCAAAGAACCAAACAAAUCUAACAGUGUUUUGCAAAAAGCACUGUGAAAUGAGCACGUUGUUUUCUCUUUUUUUCUGUCCUCAAAAACCUAUAAAUGAAUCCCUCUGUCAUCCACCUAAUAAUAGUGAAUACAGAUCAUUACCAUUUAUCUGCUGGCUCCCGUGCUGGUGCUUUCCAGUUCUUGCAGGGUGGGUAUGAUAAGCCCCAUUGUCCAGAUAAGGAAACUGAGGAUCAGAGAGGCGAGUGAGGCCCUCAAGGUCACCGGCCUGGAGGGGGCGGAGCUGGGAUUUCAAGCCCACCUGAUUGCCAAGGCUGGUUUCUUUUUUCUGCCCUUCUGAAGGCAGUCAUCCGUUCCCUCCCUCUCCUCUCUGGUUGCUCUCUCCUCCACCCCUUAUUUCUCUGACUUCCCUCUGUCUCAGUCUUUCUCCCUCUCUGCUUAUCCCUAGCCUGUUUCUUUCUGCUUAGUUGUACUCUUGGCAUUCAUUGUUUUUUCUCCCCCUUGGAAGCAUUCACCAAAUGGGUCCUGAAGUGCCACAGACGUGCCCUCACAGGUGUAUUCACAUCCCGGGAAGAGGGCCUUGGCGGGAGCCCCCUCUUGGGCAAUCCCAGAGCCCCGGGGAAGCAGGAUGCUGUUGCCACCUGGUGGCCACAGGGGGCAGGGUGGCGCCGGUGGCCGGACUGUGGCUGAGCCUUUCUGGGUGUCUGAAGCAGGGGCGGUGAUCUGUGAACUGGGUGAUGGGUUGGCGAGCUUAAUCACUAACUUGGGAGGCGAGAGUGCCUGGGACUAGGCUGUGUGUAUGUGAUGUGUGUGUGCACGUGCGUGUGAGAGAGGUCUUGGCCCUCAUCCCCCACAGGCUGGGUGGGUUUCCUCAGUUACUUCAAAGUUGGGGCCUCUCAGCCACUCAUGGAUGAAAUUCUUCCCAUCCCCCCUGUUGACAGAGUGAGACCCUGAAGUUCGAGAUCAUGAAUGGAUUCGCUCAAGGUCACCAGCCUAGAACAGGGAAUCCGUCUGAGGUCUGGCGGACCUCAGAGCCGGCGCUACCCCACUGACUGACUUUUUCUCCUUGGGGACAGAUAGGGCUGGGGAAAUGGAUGGAUACUCACUGUCCCCAGGCCACCAUUUGGUGGCUGUCAACGUGGGGCUGUGCACCACAAACUCCUGGGUGGCCGUAUCAUAGGUGGCUUCGGUCUCCAGGCCCUGAAGAUACGUCCCUGGGAAUCAAGGAGGGGAGUUCGUGAGGCAGGGAGUCAGGAUAGGAAUCUCACCGGGGAGCAGUGUCCUGGUGGGCUGGGAACUGCCAGGCACCAGACCCAUCUGGGCUAGCUCCCAGCUGUACUCACAGGCACUUCUCGUCUUUCACCCGUGGGCUGUGUGGGGGACACAUGACCAGUCCGUGGCAAGGGAUGCUUGCUGACGUUUCCAGAAGGAACGACUUGCCCCACGCACGCUAGCUCGCUAGCUCCUACGGUGUGUUUGUGUAAAAACUAGAAAAAGGAACCCCCUCCUCUGAGACCCUUGACUGCCCAUGCUGGAGUGUUUCCAUAUGAACUACGCAAUCUCCGACUACGGCGGGGGGUGGGCUCUCUGGAGCCGUGCGUGCGCAAACCCUGGCUCACCGUGUCCCAGUUCUGUCUGGGCAUAUGAUGCAAUGAUCUGGAACUCGUUGCAGAGUGGGUUCCAUUUGGCAAUCUGCUCCUCUGAGCCCAGGCUCCUGAGGGAUUUCUGGAACACUCUGUGCAGAUUAAAGGCCAGUUCUCCAGAAACGGCUCUGUCGGGGAAAGACACGGUGGUUGAGUAGCCCACUGGAGACAGGGACCCCGGUACCGUCAGCCUGGCAGGGUGCAAAAGGGAAGGGGCAUCUGCCACCCUGCCUUCCCAACAGCUAUGGCCUUUAAAGGUGGGGGAGGGGCGCCUGGGUGGCACA